RNAcentral lists this ribosomal RNA (226 nucleotides) under uncultured bacterium. RNAcentral's name for it is "partial 16S ribosomal RNA". It matches the Rfam family "Bacterial small subunit ribosomal RNA", at positions 538 to 763 of the family's 1533-position model. The record is from RNAcentral.
GCGUUAAUCGGAAUUACUGGGCGUAAAGCGUGCGCAGGCGGUUGUGUAAGACAGGUGUGAAAUCCCCGGGCUUAACCUGGGAACUGCGCUUGUGACUGCACAGCUAGAGUAUGGCAGAGGGGGGUGGAAUUCCACGUGUAGCAGUGAAAUGCGUAGAGAUGUGGAGGAACACCGAUGGCGAAGGCAGCCCCCUGGGCCAAUACUGACGCUCAUGCACGAAAGCGUG